Molecule: ribosomal RNA, 301 nt
Filed under: uncultured bacterium
Lineage: Bacteria
Description: partial 16S ribosomal RNA
Rfam family: Bacterial small subunit ribosomal RNA
Source: RNAcentral
CAGUAGCCACGGUAAAACGAAGGGUGCAAGCGUUACUCGGAAUUACUGGGCGUAAAGCGUGCGUAGGUGGUGGUUUAAGUCCGUUGUGAAAGCCCUGGGCUCAACCUGGGAAUUGCAGUGGAUACUGGGUCACUAGAGUGUGGUAGAGGAUAGUGGAAUUUCCGGUGUAGCAGUGAAAUGCGUAGAGAUCGGAAGGAACAUCUGUGGCGAAGGCGACUAUCUGGGCCAACACUGACACUGAGGCACGAAAGCGUGGGGAGCAAACAGGAUUAGAGACCCCGGUAGUCCCUGUCUCUUAUAC